GUCCUUGCCUGGACUACAGUUACUUAUUUAAAUCUGGCAUUUAGUUUAUUAUCAGAUGACAUGACAUGUAAACAUGGCGGUGUCAUUUCAGGUGAAAGCCCUAUAUGACUUUGAAGCUCAGCCUGGAACAGGAGAAUUAAGUAUAUCAGCUAAUGAAAUCUUAACUGUUACAAAUCAGGAUGUUGGUGAAGGUUGGUGGGAGGGUGUUAAUAACAGAGGACAGAAAGGACUUUUUCCUGCAGGUUAUGUUGAGGUAAAAAGU
Long non-coding RNA from Stegodyphus dumicola, 262 nucleotides. The record is from RefSeq and is a predicted model, not a curated record. Lineage: Eukaryota; Metazoa; Arthropoda; Arachnida; Araneae; Eresidae.